Molecule: long non-coding RNA, 471 nt
Organism: Dermochelys coriacea (leatherback sea turtle)
Lineage: Eukaryota; Metazoa; Chordata; Testudines; Dermochelyidae
Exons: 3
Source: RefSeq, a predicted model, not a curated record
GAAGGGGCAAGUCGCCGGACGGGGUGGAGCGGAGGGAAAGACGGGAUCCAAUCAGAGCUCCAGGCUGCCGCUUUAUUUGCAUAAAGGGACCCUCGCGUCGGCCGGUGGGGAGAAGGCGGAAGGGAAACCGGAGCACUUGGAGGCUGCCAUCUGACAGUAGCGUUCCAUUGUGCUAAACACAGAGUGAAAUCCUGGCCCUAUUGAAGUCACUGGAAGCUUUUCCAUUCAAUGGAGUCAGUCUUUCACCCAUAAUCAGACAGUCGCCGCCUUAAAGAACGUACAGUCCAAACAGAGAAGAAAGACAAAGGCUGGGUCUCAAGGAUCUUUAACAUGAGUAAAUCUAUGUCAAGUCAAUGGAACUAUGUGGAUUUACGCCAGCUGAAGAUCUGUCUCAGUGCUCCAAAGCAAGACAAAAGUUCUCCAAAAAGGGCUGGCCUAUGGCUCCAUUUCCUCUGCUGUUUUUCUUCACAG